AAAUUGAAGAGUUUGAUCAUGGCUCAGAUUGAACGCUGGCGGCAGGCCUAACACAUGCAAGUCGAACGGUAACAGGAAACAGCUUGCUGUUUCGCUGACGAGUGGCGGACGGGUGAGUAAUGUCUGGGAAACUGCCUGAUGGAGGGGGAUAACUACUGGAAACGGUAGCUAAUACCGCAUAACGUCGCAAGACCAAAGAGGGGGACCUUAGGGCCUCUUGCCAUCGGAUGUGCCAGAUGGGAUUAGCUAGUAGGUGGGGUAAAGGCUCACCUAGGCGACGAUCCCUAGCUGGUCUGAGAGGAUGACCAGCCACACUGGAACUGAGACACGGUCCAGACUCCUACGGGAGGCAGCAGUGGGGAAUAUUGCACAAUGGGCGCAAGCCUGAUGCAGCCAUGCCGCGUGUAUGAAGAAGGCCUUCGGGUUGUAAAGUACUUUCAGCGGGGAGGAAGGGAGUAAAGUUAAUACCUUUGCUCAUUGACGUUACCCGCAGAAGAAGCACCGGCUAACUCCGUGCCAGCAGCCGCGGUAAUACGGAGGGUGCAAGCGUUAAUCGGAAUUACUGGGCGUAAAGCGCACGCAGGCGGUUUGUUAAGUCAGAUGUGAAAUCCCCGGGCUCAACCUGGGAACUGCAUCUGAUACUGGCAAGCUUGAGUCUCGUAGAGGGGGGUAGAAUUCCAGGUGUAGCGGUGAAAUGCGUAGAGAUCUGGAGGAAUACCGGUGGCGAAGGCGGCCCCCUGGACGAAGACUGACGCUCAGGUGCGAAAGCGUGGGGAGCAAACAGGAUUAGAUACCCUGGUAGUCCACGCCGUAAACGAUGUCGACUUGGAGGUUGUGCCCUUGAGGCGUGGCUUCCGGAGCUAACGCGUUAAGUCGACCGCCUGGGGAGUACGGCCGCAAGGUUAAAACUCAAAUGAAUUGACGGGGGCCCGCACAAGCGGUGGAGCAUGUGGUUUAAUUCGAUGCAACGCGAAGAACCUUACCUGGUCUUGACAUCCACGGAAGUUUUCAGAGAUGAGAAUGUGCCUUCGGGAACCGUGAGACAGGUGCUGCAUGGCUGUCGUCAGCUCGUGUUGUGAAAUGUUGGGUUAAGUCCCGCAACGAGCGCAACCCUUAUCCUUUGUUGCCAGCGGUCCGGCCGGGAACUCAAAGGAGACUGCCAGUGAUAAACUGGAGGAAGGUGGGGAUGACGUCAAGUCAUCAUGGCCCUUACGACCAGGGCUACACACGUGCUACAAUGGCGCAUACAAAGAGAAGCGACCUCGCGAGAGCAAGCGGACCUCAUAAAGUGCGUCGUAGUCCGGAUUGGAGUCUGCAACUCGACUCCAUGAAGUCGGAAUCGCUAGUAAUCGUGGAUCAGAAUGCCACGGUGAAUACGUUCCCGGGCCUUGUACACACCGCCCGUCACACCAUGGGAGUGGGUUGCAAAAGAAGUAGGUAGCUUAACCUUCGGGAGGGCGCUUACCACUUUGUGAUUCAUGACUGGGGUGAAGUCGUAACAAGGUAACCGUAGGGGAACCUGCGGUUGGAUCACCUCCUUA
This 1541-nucleotide ribosomal RNA is filed under the name Escherichia coli IS29. RNAcentral's name for it is "SSU rRNA". It matches the Rfam family "Bacterial small subunit ribosomal RNA". The record is from RNAcentral. Lineage: Bacteria; Pseudomonadati; Pseudomonadota; Gammaproteobacteria; Enterobacterales; Enterobacteriaceae.